This 3025-nucleotide long non-coding RNA is filed under the name Homo sapiens (human). RNAcentral's name for it is "HSALNT0078107". Lineage: Eukaryota; Metazoa; Chordata; Mammalia; Primates; Hominidae. The record is from RNAcentral.
AAGACUCCGUGGGCGUAGGACCCUCCGAGCCAGGUGUGGGAUAUAGUCUCGUGGUGCGCCAUUUUUUAAGCCCGUCAGAAAAGCGCAGUAUUCGGGUGGGAGUGACCCUAUUUUCCAGGUGCGUCCAUCACCCCUUUCUUUGACUCGGAAAGGGAACUCCCUGACCCCUUGCGCUUCCCCAGUGAGGUAAUGCCUCACCCUGCUUCGGCUCGUGCACGGUGCGCGCACCCACUGACCUGCGCCCACUGUCUGGCGCUCCCUAGUGAGAUGAACCUGGUACCUCAGAUGGAAAUGCAGAAAUCACCCGUCUUCUGCAUCGCUCACGCUGGUAGCUGUAGACCGGAGCUGUUCCUAUUCGGCCAUCUUGGCUCUCCCUCGUCUUAUUGAUUGGAGAGCGAUUGAUUGGAGAGUGCAGACGUAUGCAGCAACAGGUUUGUCAGAUGUGGUGGUCAUUGCUCUUACUCCAGCUUUGCAUCCUAGAAUCAUUUGGAAGAUAUAUCUAAGAAAAAACAACUAAGACAAUUUAACACGACUGUAUUUGGAGAAAAAGUCCUUAAAGAGGCAAACUUAAAUAAGGCCAUCAGAGUGGGUCAUAGUCCAGUCAGACUGGGGUUCCUACAUGACAAGAUUAGGACACAAAGAGAGACACUGGGGACGCCCUUGAAGAGGGGAAAGACCAUGAGAAGACACAGCAAGAUGAUGGUUAUGUGCAAGCCAAGAAGCCAGGCCUCAGGAGAAACCAAACCUACAAGUAUGUUGAGCUUGAACUUCUAGCCACUACAGCUGUGAGAAAUAAAUAUCUGUUGUUUAAAUUGCCCAAUACUUUGUAUGGCAAGCCUAGCUCAUACAGAUAUAUUUUUUCUUUUAACACAGUAACUAAGACUACAAAUUCAUGAUAACUUUACAGGUGUAAUUCCAAGAUUCUCCACCCCUAACAGGCUAUUAAAAGAAUUGUAACAUAGGAUGAUGUUAAAGUAAUUCUCAUACAUUCACGAUAAUGUAUUCUUCCAUAUAAUGGGGGGUUAUUAGAUCAAGUUCUAAAGGUAAAUAUUUCCUUAGCAAUGUUGAAUGUCUUAUCUAUUGUUUCUUUUAUUAAGAUUUGUUUUCUGUAUCUCGCAGGAACAUUGUUGUUCUAGAUUUUAUAUUCAGGAUAUUGUAUUUCUGAAGCAAAAUGAUACGAAAUAUUGCCAAACAAAAUAAAAUAUAAAGAGUACUUGAACAGUAUUAUAAGAGAUAAGAUAAAGAAAGGCUACUGUUUAAAGUAGCCAAUAUUUUAAGAUAUAAUUCAGGUCCUAAAUGUUUUAUAUUACUCUCAGCAUAAAUACAUUGUCUAAACAUUUGCUUCAGGUUAAAUAUAAUUAUACAUGUUAAGUCUUUCUUGUUUAGAAACAUUAUCUCAUAUAAUUAACCAAAAUUUUACACUAAAAUUUGUAGCAUCUGUAAUAACGUUCUUCAGCAAAUUCCAUGAGGAUGGGAAUGUACUUCCAUUACUUCCCUCAGUUGUUAAGUAAACUCUUUUAGAAGAGUAAAGAAAGUGAAAAAAAAUUAUUCAUUGUGUCUGCCUAAUGAAGAAAAUUUAGUACAUUUUAUUUCACAUGUAUAACUGUUUCUUCACAGCAAAGGCAUUAUGGCUGAAAUUUUUUUUUACUUGAUAGGCAGUUUUAUUAGUUUUCAUGUAUAUAGGUAAGUGACCUGUCCUUUGUUUAAAUUGAUUUUGUUCAGAAAAAAGAAUUUCAUUCAUCUGGAUUUGCAAUGGUGGUAAAAUGAGAAAAAGUGUCCUAUAGAUUACCACAUUUUAAAUAUUUUACCUUGAAUCGUAAACACUUCACUCUAGUAGGUACUUUAGAACUCAGUUGUUAUUUGUCCUCUGAAUAUGAUAUACCUUUAUAUGAGAAACAGACUCCUAACUAUGUUUAUUUUUCAGUUUUUUUUUCUUUAAUAUCUCCUUGGAAAUAACCACAAUAAUCUGCCAUUCUAAAUAUUCACGAUCCUUCCAGUCAACAGUCACUCUUUAGGUUUAACCUUUGCUACUGGACAAAUAUUUCUUUUUGCUUAAUUGUGAUUAAUUAAGUGAUGAUAACUUCAAUUUCAAAUUGAAAUUUGACACCAAAUCAUUUUUUUUUCUUAUGGGUCUUUCCUUGGGUUCUGCAAAAUACUCUGCAACAGUCCUUCUAUUGGUCAGGCUCUCUCAGACAAUAUCCAGGCAUUUACAGAAGUUUGAAGAACAUGUUAACAUCAAUAUUAAAAACAGCAGGAGGCAGCUGAAUGCCUAGGCAGACAGGGAUGAGUCCCCAGUGAAACUCCACCUUCAAGCCAAAGUAGCCUAAAACCCACGGCCCAAAGUGAAAACUUCUAUUCCUGUUGCCUGCUUUCUCUGGAUUGGUUCUUUCUGAAUAAUGUCUUUUGACCAGUUGAAUGUUGCCUUUUCCAAAAAUACCUACAGCCUGCCCUGUCCCCAUCCUGUGCCUUUAAAUUCCCCAUACUCAGUUAGUAGAGUGGGCAGACAGUUGGACUUUGGGGAAGAGAGUUAGCUUGACUUUGGGGAAUAGACAACUGGACUUUGAGGAGAAGAUGACCUCACUUCAAGAAAGACUACCUGCCCUUCCCAUUCACUCUCCAGCUCCCCUCUCCACUGAGAGCCAUUUCCACUGCUCAGUAUGAUUCUCUGCCUUCACAAUUCUUCAAGUCCCUAUGUGAUCUCAUUCUUCUUGAACAAGGACAAGAGCUCAGGAUCCAAUAAGUGUGGGUACCCAGAAAGGCAGUCCCACCAGCCCUUUGCCCUCACCAAUGGAAGGCAGUCACCCCAUGUCACAAGGCAAGGGGCCAACUGAGCUGUUAACACACAGCCGUCGGAAGACAACGGAAUUAAAGGAGCAAUGUAACGUCCCUUUGCUGUUCUCAUGAGAGUGAAUGAUUUCUCAGGAGAUACAGUUGUUUAGAAGUGUGCGUAUGUUUAUUGCAGCAUUAUUCACAAUAGCAAAGACUUGGAACCAACCCAAAUGUCCAACAAUGAUAGACUGGAUUA